This 188-nucleotide small nucleolar RNA is filed under the name Castor canadensis (American beaver). Its description in RNAcentral is "Small Cajal body specific RNA 16 (ENSCCNG00000019036.1)". It matches the Rfam family "Small Cajal body specific RNA 16". From Rfam's summary of the family: scaRNAs are a specific class of small nuclear RNAs which localise to the Cajal bodies and guide the modification of RNA polymerase II transcribed spliceosomal RNAs U1, U2, U4, U5 and U12. Lineage: Eukaryota; Metazoa; Chordata; Mammalia; Rodentia; Castoridae. The record is from Rfam by way of RNAcentral.
AUGGUCUGGGGAAGAGCUCCUGUGUUGUUGAACCUGCCCAGCGGGUGGGUGCAGCCUUGUAACCAGGUAGCCCGACCUUGACCUAAAGUAAAUUCCCAGGGAAGUCCUUCCCGGGGUUUGGAUUUGCAGUAACAGGUGUGAGCAUUCCAGCAGCAGCUUGAUGGUCAUGUAUGACACUGCAAACAGGA